UACAGAGGUCUCAAGCGUUGUUCGGAUUCAUUGGGCGUAAAGGGUGCGUAGGCGGCGCGGUAAGUCGGGUGUGAAAUCUCGGGGCUUAACUCCGAAACUGCAUUCGAUACUGCCGUGCUUGAGGACUGGAGAGGAGACUGGAAUUUACGGUGUAGCGGUGAAAUGCGUAGAUAUCCGGAGGAACACCGGUGGCGAAGGCGGCUUCCUGGACCGACACUGACGCUGAGGCGCGAAAGCUAGGGGAGCAAACGGG
This 253-nucleotide ribosomal RNA is filed under the name uncultured bacterium. Its description in RNAcentral is "partial 16S ribosomal RNA". It matches the Rfam family "Bacterial small subunit ribosomal RNA", at positions 524 to 776 of the family's 1533-position model. The record is from RNAcentral.